Molecule: ribosomal RNA, 1437 nt
Filed under: uncultured organism
Description: SSU rRNA
Rfam family: Bacterial small subunit ribosomal RNA
Source: RNAcentral
ACGCUAGCUACAGGCUUAACACAUGCAAGUCGAGGGGCAGCAUUUCAGUUUGCUUGCAAACUGGAGAUGGCGACCGGCGCACGGGUGAGUAACACGUAUCCAACCUGCCGAUAACUCGGGGAUAGCCUUUCGAAAGAAAGAUUAAUACCCGAUGGUAUAAUCAGACCGCAUGGUUUGAUUAUUAAAGAAUUUCGGUUAUCGAUGGGGAUGCGUUCCAUUAGGCAGUUGGUGAGGUAACGGCUCACCAAACCUUCGAUGGAUAGGGGUUCUGAGAGGAAGGUCCCCCACAUUGGAACUGAGACACGGUCCAAACUCCUACGGGAGGCAGCAGUGAGGAAUAUUGGUCAAUGGACGAGAGUCUGAACCAGCCAAGUAGCGUGAAGGAUGACUGCCCUAUGGGUUGUAAACUUCUUUUAUACGGGAAUAAAGUGAGCCACGUGUGGCUUUUUGUAUGUACCGUAUGAAUAAGGAUCGGCUAACUCCGUGCCAGCAGCCGCGGUAAUACGGAGGAUCCGAGCGUUAUCCGGAUUUAUUGGGUUUAAAGGGAGCGUAGGCGGGUUGUUAAGUCAGUUGUGAAAGUUUGCGGCUCAACCGUAAAAUUGCAGUUGAUACUGGCGACCUUGAGUGCAACAGAGGUAGGCGGAAUUCGUGGUGUAGCGGUGAAAUGCUUAGAUAUCACGAAGAACUCCGAUUGCGAAGGCAGCUUACUGGAUUGUAACUGACGCUGAUGCUCGAAAGUGUGGGUAUCAAACAGGAUUAGAUACCCUGGUAGUCCACACAGUAAACGAUGAAUACUCGCUGUUGGCGAUAUACAGUCAGCGGCCAAGAGAAAGCAUUAAGUAUUCCACCCUGGGGAGUACGCCGGCAACGGUGAAACUCAAAGGAAUUGACGGGGGCCCGCACAAGCGGAGGAGCAUGUGGUUUAAUUCGAUGAUACGCGAGGAACCUUACCCGGGCUUAAAUUGCAACUGACGGAACCGGAAACGGUUCUUUCUUCGGACAGUUGUGAAGGUGCUGCAUGGUUGUCGUCAGCUCGUGCCGUGAGGUGUCGGCUUAAGUGCCAUAACGAGCGCAACCCUUACGGGUAGUUACCAUCAGGUUAUGCUGGGGACUCUACCCGGACUGCCGUCGUAAGAUGUGAGGAAGGUGGGGAUGACGUCAAAUCAGCACGGCCCUUACGUCCGGGGCUACACACGUGUUACAAUGGGGGGUACAGAAGGCAGCUACACGGCGACGUGGUGCUAAUCCCAAAAGCCUCUCUCAGUUCGGAUUGGAGUCUGCAACCCGACUCCAUGAAGCUGGAUUCGCUAGUAAUCGCGCAUCAGCCACGGCGCGGUGAAUACGUUCCCGGGCCUUGUACACACCGCCCGUCAAGCCAUGAAAGCCGGGGGUACCUGAAGUACGUAACCGCGAGGAGCGUCCUAGGGUAAAACUGGU